Molecule: long non-coding RNA, 1492 nt
Organism: Helianthus annuus (common sunflower)
Lineage: Eukaryota; Viridiplantae; Streptophyta; Magnoliopsida; Asterales; Asteraceae
Exons: 5
Source: RefSeq, a predicted model, not a curated record
UGUGAAGUUCUGAAAUUUUCUUUUGCCUCAGUAUUGUGCAUUGAUUAAAAAAUGUGCUUUGAUAUAACGUUUAUGCUACUGUUAUUUAUGUAGUUUACUCAAAGCAUAUAAUCUUGCAUGGGUCUAUACAUGCUAAUAGAUGCAGAUAAAUUUUUCAUAGAUGAUUAAUGUGCCAAAUACGAUUUUACAAAAGUUGUAUAUUUCGGUAAAUUUAAUUAAACCCUUUGUAUAAAUUGAUUUAAGAGGUUUUAUGCACUAAACAUACAUCUGAGCGUAAAUGCCAUAUAUUUAGGCAGAAAAUUACAAACAGAAAUCUUACUAGGGUUUACCUUCUUUCUCCUAUCACCAUGUGAGUUCAAGGUGUGUACACUUAAAUCUUUUAAACUGUUUAUUCUCAUAUUUUUUUUUUAUUAAAAUAGUAUUAUGAUGUUAUUAACAAUAAAUUUUAGACAUAUUAUACAGUGGAAUCAAUGUGCUUUAUUGAGUCUUUUCAACUAUGUUUACUCAUUUGACAAGCCCUAUGAGCUGGCUUUUGGGGGUGGGGUAAUGUUCUUUCUAAACUUUUUUUGCUGAUGUUGAGGUGAUAAACGCGUGGGCUAGGUAACACCGUGACCUUUUUGUCCUUUUUUAGAUUUUCUAUAUAAUUAAUCAAUGUGAUUAGAGGCAAAAACUGGUAGAGUAAGUAAUGGAUCAGAAUGCGAAAAACAAGAAUGGGCAUGCUACUAUCCCUCCAUGUUGCUUGAAAGCCCAGGUUUUGCUGAAUUGGAAGCCAAUUGUCGUGGUACAGUUGUUUCAAGAUGGUUCAUUGAGCAUCGGGAUUCAUCUGGAAAUAGAUAUUACAAGUUUUCAAGACAAAGCUAGAUCUGUGGAUGACAAUUUUUUUUGUUAAUGGAUGCCGCUUGGAGCCGAACUGAUGAGGAAUGAAAAUAUAGUAAGGCCUUUACCCUGGAACGGGAAGCAGAUCUCUUAGAAUCGAAGCGGAAGAAUGAAGAACUGAAAUAGUCCAAAGUUUUCAGUUCUCUAUUUCCUAUAGGAAAGUGAUGCUUAAAAAGAACAAUCACUGUAGGUGCAUGUGACAACCCGUAAUUCUCGAGUUUUUCAUGUGAAGUGUAGCCGGAAGGAUACCAACAAAAGUGGAGCUGGAUAAGAGAGGAGUGCAAUGGGAAGUGUGUUGUGCCCUUGCUUCGGAUACCUACCAGAAUCAGUGGACCAUGUAUUGGUUUCAUGCAAACUCGCCAAAUCGAUUUGGUGGGGAACUGGAGUGUGGCUUGGGUUGAACAAUCUUUCAGCAUGUUCAACUGUCUAAGAAGCGAUCAAAUCUGUGAUGGAUGAACGUUAUCUAAGAGGCAAAGGAAGGCCACACUGUGUGUUGUCUUGGCUGUACUGUGGAAGAUAUGGUGGCAUAGGAACCGGUGUGAAGUUGCUUAUACUAGAUUAAGAUGAGAAUGAAACAAAUAAACAUUUCAAAGUAAAUAAUAUGGUUUUGGAUGAA